UUUUCCGCUUACGUUUGGCAGGGAUGCUCGUCGGACAGUAGAAGUGGAAUCUACGCUUGAACGUCUUACAGAUGUGGAACUUCGUACAAAUGGCCUCCAAAUACAUCGUUUUAUUGAGUUCACCCGAAGCUGAAAACCAUUGAGAUUCGGGACUGGCAGAGAUGUAAGACAAACAUCGAACGACACGUGGAGUGAAUAAGGAGCGAAGAAUUUCAGGAUUGCAGAAGCACAACAAUAAAGUGUUACAUGCUGGACGGCGGGCCGUU
This is a long non-coding RNA of Spea bombifrons (plains spadefoot toad), 266 nucleotides long. RefSeq lists it as uncharacterized. The transcript is spliced from 3 exons. The record is from RefSeq and is a predicted model, not a curated record. NCBI's taxonomy places the organism in Eukaryota, Metazoa, Chordata, Amphibia, Anura, Pelobatidae.